Molecule: ribosomal RNA, 732 nt
Filed under: Melanophora roralis
Lineage: Eukaryota; Metazoa; Arthropoda; Insecta; Diptera; Rhinophoridae
Description: SSU rRNA
Rfam family: Eukaryotic small subunit ribosomal RNA
Source: RNAcentral
CUGUAAUUGGAAUGAGUACACUUUAAAUCCUUUAACAAGGACCUAUUGGAGGGCAAGUCUGGUGCCAGCAGCCGCGGUAACUCCAGCUCCAAUAGCGUAUAUUAAAGUUGUUGCGGUUAAAACGUUCGUAGUUGAACUUGUGCUUCAUACGGGUAGUACAUCUAUAAUUGUAGCUUGUACUUAACCUUAUGUAUGUAAGCGUAUUACCGGUGGAGUUCUUAUAUGCAAAUACUUUAUUUUCCUCCUAUCUAAACCUGCUUCAGUGCUCUUCAUCGAGUGUUGUUGUGGGCCGGUACAAUUACUUUGAACAAAUUAGAGUGCUUAAAGCAGGCUCCAAAUGCCUGAAUAUUUUGUGCAUGGAAUAAUGAAAUAAGACCUCUGUUCUACUUUCAUUGGUUUAUAGAUCAAGAGGUAAUGAUUAAUAGAAGCAGUUUGGGGGCAUUAGUAUUACGACGCGAGAGGUGAAAUUCUUGGACCGUCGUAAGACUAACUUAAGCGAAAGCAUUUGCCAAAGAUGUUUUCAUUAAUCAAGAACGAAAGUUAGAGGUUCGAAGGCGAUCAGAUACCGCCCUAGUUCUAACCAUAAACGAUGCCAGCUAGCAAUUGGGUGUAGCUACUAUCAUGGCUCUCUCAGUCGCUUCCCGGGAAACCAAAGCUUUUGGGCUCCGGGGGAAGUAUGGUUGCAAAGCUGAAACUUAAAGGAAUUGACGGAAGGGCACCACCAGGAGUGGA